This is a long non-coding RNA of Rhododendron vialii, 666 nucleotides long. RefSeq lists it as uncharacterized. NCBI's taxonomy places the organism in Eukaryota, Viridiplantae, Streptophyta, Magnoliopsida, Ericales, Ericaceae. The transcript is spliced from 2 exons. The record is from RefSeq and is a predicted model, not a curated record.
GAGUGUAUGGCAUGUGAUAGAUGUAUGUGUGGGUGUAGGAGAUAAUUUUCUCCUCAAUUAUAAUUCUCUCUUUUCUCUCACAGUAAACACAACACACACCCACGCCACUCUCUCAUCUCUCCCGCGGCUUCUCUCUCUCUCUCUCCCUCUCUCUCUCUCAUACCCUUACCAAAUUUCUUCCCCAAAUCUCAAAUUAACCAAGGGAUCUUGGAGCAAUCUUCUCCUAGAGUCGAGUUCUAGCCUGUGAUCGCGUUGGAAAGCUCGGAGGAGGUGUUUUCGGGAGAGGUUUUGCCAGGAGAUUCUUGGGGUUUUAAUUUCAACCUUCGAGGUACUCGCCAUGGCACUUAGCUUGGGUUGCACGGAGUGCACAUUGAGACGUCUCUUGAGAGCUUCAUUGGUAUCGUUAAGUGUUUAUCAUCUAGUCUAAUUCAUGUUAUGUACUUUACUCGAAAUUGAAGGUUGUACCUUUUGGCUAGAAUAUAUGUAAAGCCAUGUAUAAAUUCCUCUCCUCGAUUAUUAUGAAACCCAUUUAAUUGUAAACGUUUGGGAGGCUUUUUGUAAAAAAAAAAAUAGAGAGAAGAAGAAGAGACUUUGAUUCGUUGUUUGGAUUGGCAUGACAUUUAAGGGUAAAUAUAGUAAGAGAGAGAGACUUUUGUUUGUGGAAAA